GACGAACGCUGGCGGCGUGCUUAACACAUGCAAGUCGAGCGGUAAGGCCCUUUCGGGGGUACACGAGCGGCGAACGGGUGAGUAACACGUGGGUGACCUGCCCUCAGCUCUGGGAUAAGCCUGGGAAACCGGGUCUAAUACUGGAUAUGACUCCAUGACGCAUGUUGUGGGGUGGAAAGCCUUGUGCGGCUGAGGAUGGGCCCGCGGCCUAUCAGCUUGUUGGUGGGGUGAUGGCCUACCAAGGCGACGACGGGUAGCCGGCCCGAGAGGGCGACCGGCCACACUGGGACUGAGACACGGCCCAGACUCCUACGGGAGGCAGCAGUGGGGAAUCUUGCGCAAUGGGCGAAAGCCUGACGCAGCGACGCCGCGUGAGGGAUGACGGCCUCGG
This 391-nucleotide ribosomal RNA is filed under the name uncultured bacterium. Its description in RNAcentral is "bacterial SSU rRNA". It matches the Rfam family "Bacterial small subunit ribosomal RNA", at positions 28 to 420 of the family's 1533-position model. The record is from RNAcentral.